RNAcentral lists this long non-coding RNA (1145 nucleotides) under Felis catus (domestic cat). RNAcentral describes it as "lncRNA (ENSFCAG00000042377.2)". Lineage: Eukaryota; Metazoa; Chordata; Mammalia; Carnivora; Felidae. The record is from RNAcentral.
CGGAGUCCCUCGAGAGAUGUCCCUGAUCUGCUAUUACUGGAAUUUGCAACUCUUGAAAAAAGCUGCCGGGGGCAUGACUCACCGAGUGGAUGUCCAAACCACUGCCUCCACAGCUCACCAUCCUGUCCCCCGAGUCUCCUCCCUCUUUCUGCAGCUGCAACCCGAGAGGCAUUGGUUCCCUCCAGGGAGGGGCCCCGGGACCUGGCGUCAGCAUCCUUGGUGGGCCAGCUGCCUCCACACACUGCAGGUAGCCAGAAUUUCCUGGAUUCCAGGGGGAAAGAAGUCUGUCUGGAAGAGAUCAGACGGUCUCAGCCUCCUCGUGGUAGGUCACAUUCCUAGAGGGAGAAGGUCAGCUGUCCAAGUGAUGCUCCAUGAAUGCUCUUAACUUACUGACCAAUUAACAGCCACAGCUGGGCACUGAAUCUGUGCUUGAAACAUGAACAUGGUGAUGACUGCAGUAAUAGUAACAGCUUGUUGGAUAUGCAACCUCUGUUUCCUCCUUUCCAGAAGCUCGACUCAACCCAGGGGACAGCGAGGUGGCUGCUGGGCAGGUCCAGGCACACUUGCCUGGCGACUCCACAGAGUGGGCCAUCUUCCCGUUGGCCCAGCUUGGCUUAUGUGACCAUCUCUGAGCUAAUCAUGGAAUCUGACUGGCCAGACUGUGGUCAGUGUCCGAAAGCAGGGCCCUCCAUCCAAGCACAUGGACUGAGAGAGAGCCUCUCUCUUGAUGGUUUCCCAAAAGAAAACUGGGAAGCCGUCGCCAGGAGAAGAGAGCCCGGAUUUCCAUUACAACCCGCAUGUGGAGUGUCUGACAUGAGCAACGGUCCCUCCUUUUGGAAAAUGUUGGGGCGUAAGCCAGAAUGGACCAGAGUCUUCCUCAAGAGGCAUACAAUUGCUUGGCUGUGAUAUCCGUAUAAAAGCUCAGCUCUUUCAUCCUUACUUGGGGAAAUCGUUUUAUUUUUAUUUAUUUAUUUAAGUAGGCUCCACACCCCAGCGUGGGGCUUGAACUCACAACCCUGAGGCCAAGAGUCGCGCGCUCCACGGACUCAGCCAGCCAGGUGCCCCUGGUGAAAUCAUUGUAAUUAUAUAAACCUCUCCAAGAAUUUUCCAGUAGAAAGUAAUUGAAAGGAAGGAGGACCGUAGGA